Molecule: transfer RNA, 67 nt
Filed under: Gymnodraco acuticeps
Lineage: Eukaryota; Metazoa; Chordata; Actinopteri; Perciformes; Bathydraconidae
Description: tRNA-Ser
Source: RNAcentral
GAGAGGUGCGGGCAGCAACGGGGACUGCUAAUCCCCAUCUCCUUGGUUAAACUCCAAGGCCCACUCG